UCUUCAUUUCACGCACUCUCUCACCGGUCAGAAAGUGAUAGAGUGUGGGAAAUGAAGAGU
This 60-nucleotide microRNA precursor is filed under the name Pristionchus pacificus. Its description in RNAcentral is "mir-8364 microRNA precursor family". It matches the Rfam family "mir-8364 microRNA precursor family". The record is from Rfam by way of RNAcentral. Lineage: Eukaryota; Metazoa; Nematoda; Chromadorea; Rhabditida; Neodiplogasteridae.